UCAUGGCUCAGAUUGAACGCUGGCGGCAGGCCUAACACAUGCAAGUCGAACGGCAGCACAGAAGAGCUUGCUCUUUGGGUGGCGAGUGGCGGACGGGUGAGUAACACGUAGGAAUCUACCCAGUAGUGGGGGAUAACCUGGGGAAACCCAGGCUAAUACCGCAUACGCCCUGAGGGGGAAAGCGGGGGAUCUUCGGACCUCGCGCUAUUGGAUGAGCCUGCGUCGGAUUAGCUAGUUGGUGGGGUAAGGGCCCACCAAGGCGACGAUCCGUAGCUGGUCUGAGAGGAUGACCAGUCACACCGGAACUGAGACACGGUCCGGACUCCUACGGGAGGCAGCAGUGGGGAAUAUUGGACAAUGGGCGCAAGCCUGAUCCAGCCAUGCCGCGUGGGUGAAGAAGGCCU
RNAcentral lists this ribosomal RNA (404 nucleotides) under uncultured bacterium. Its description in RNAcentral is "bacterial SSU rRNA". It matches the Rfam family "Bacterial small subunit ribosomal RNA", at positions 17 to 417 of the family's 1533-position model. The record is from RNAcentral.